Dermacentor silvarum is the source of this 508-nucleotide long non-coding RNA. RefSeq lists it as uncharacterized. The record is from RefSeq and is a predicted model, not a curated record. The transcript has 3 exons. NCBI's taxonomy places the organism in Eukaryota, Metazoa, Arthropoda, Arachnida, Ixodida, Ixodidae.
CUCGCUCAAGCACAUAAACACUGUACCCCUUUUGAGGUGGCCAUGUACACAAGCAAAGCUCUCGUUCUUGUGGUUUUUAUAGCUGCCACGAUGGUGAUGGAGUGCUACACAAACGAUUCUGAUGGUUGGCCAACAUGUGUACAACAGGCGUGCACAGUGGAUAAAAGAACCAACACCCAGAGCUGCCCACCUGGUUGCACUUGUCAUGUCAACGUCACAACAGAUACUCAGCAAAAAGGAUUUUGUAUAAAAACGUUCAACGUAGAACGCACAUACCACUUAGUAGCUGAAUAAAAAUGAAAAUGUCCUGUCCCUAUUAAACAAACUUUUGAGGCACGUUUGAUGGCAAACUUCAGCACUCAUCGUAGUUGUCGAUGACAGCUGCGGAAAUUCGAAGGCAUCAGAAGUGCUCUUAAUGCGCAAUGCAAAAAAUAACAUGUACACAAAGCAGAGAGACUUUUCCUGAAUUGAAGAAUGUCAUUUCCCUAUCUUAAUUAGGAGACAAUAA